Molecule: ribosomal RNA, 326 nt
Filed under: uncultured Bacteroidota bacterium
Lineage: Bacteria; Pseudomonadati; Bacteroidota
Description: bacterial SSU rRNA
Rfam family: Bacterial small subunit ribosomal RNA
Source: RNAcentral
UCCGUAGGCGGUCUGGUAAGUCAGUGGUGAAAGCCCAUCGCUCAACGGUGGAACGGCCAUUGAUACUGCCAGACUUGAAUUUCCAGGAAGCAACUAGAAUAUGUAGUGUAGCGGUGAAAUGCUUAGAUAUUACAUGGAAUACCAAUUGCGAAGGCAGGUUGCUACUGGUGGAUUGACGCUGAUGGACGAAAGCGUGGGUAGCGAACAGGAUUAGAUACCCUGGUAGUCCACGCCGUAAACGAUGGAUACUAGCUGUUGGGAGCAAUCUCAGUGGCUAAGCGAAAGUGAUAAGUAUCCCACCUGGGGAGUACGAACGCAAGUUUGAA